UGUAGGUCUUGGAUAUUAAUAUCAAUUGGAGGAUGCAAAAAUUACUUGUUUUCUCGACGCUUUUAUUUAUUGGAGCUACUGCAACGAAUAACCACUGGAUGUAUGAACAAAAUUAUCCUGCCAUUAAUACCGGAAGUUUAGGUAACGCAGGUGGAUGUCAGUGCUCGUGUGGACCUGUUAUUGAGCCACGUAGAGGGAGCGGUGUUUUACCAACAAACAGUAGACGCAGACGUAAAAACAGU
Long non-coding RNA from Mytilus trossulus (common blue mussel), 242 nucleotides. RefSeq lists it as uncharacterized. The record is from RefSeq and is a predicted model, not a curated record. NCBI's taxonomy places the organism in Eukaryota, Metazoa, Mollusca, Bivalvia, Mytilida, Mytilidae. The transcript is spliced from 3 exons.